AUACGUAGGUGGCAAGCGUUGUCCGGAAUUAUUGGGCGUAAAGCGCGCGCAGGUGGUUCCUUAAGUCUGAUGUGAAAGCCCCCGGCUCAACCGGGGAGGGUCAUUGGAAACUGGGGAACUUGAGUGCAGAAGAGGAUAGUGGAAUUCCAAGUGUAGCGGUGAAAUGCGUAGAGAUUUGGAGGAACACCAGUGGCGAAGGCGACUGUCUGGUCUUUAACUGACACUGAGGCGCGAAAGCGUGGGGAGCAAACAGGAUUAGAUACCCUGGUAGUCCACGCCGUAAACGAUGAGUGCUAAGUGUUGGGGGGUUUCCGCCCCUCAGUGCUGCAGCUAACGCAUUAAGCACUCCGCCUGGGGAGUACGGUCGCAAGACUGAAACUCAAAUGAAUUGACGGGG
This 397-nucleotide ribosomal RNA is filed under the name uncultured bacterium. RNAcentral's name for it is "partial 16S ribosomal RNA". It matches the Rfam family "Bacterial small subunit ribosomal RNA", at positions 523 to 918 of the family's 1533-position model. The record is from RNAcentral.